This is a long non-coding RNA of Uranotaenia lowii, 1562 nucleotides long. RefSeq lists it as uncharacterized. NCBI's taxonomy places the organism in Eukaryota, Metazoa, Arthropoda, Insecta, Diptera, Culicidae. The record is from RefSeq and is a predicted model, not a curated record. The transcript has 3 exons.
GCCAGGCGGCGGCGUUUCCUCUGAGUUGCGACUCUUGCGGCUGCUAUCCCGCCGAGGGACGCUACGGUUAUCUGGUUCUUGCAGCUUCAACACGAACUCUGAAAUCGGAAGAAAAUUUCUUUUAGUGUGUUUCGUUCUUCAUUAACUGUCGUAUCUCUAACGGAGGGUUCGUGAAUUGAUUUUUUUCUGUCGAAAAUUGUAAACCUCUUUAUGCAAAAGCCUUGGAAGGCGAUUUACCAAAAAAAAAAAAGAUUAUCGACUGAUGCACUCGAAAAAAAUCAAUUUACGAACGUGCCAUACAAUUUAAUCUAUAGGUAAUUUAAAAAAGAAACUCGAACGCAAAACGUUAUAUUCAAUAUACAUUCGAAUCUGGACAAUUAGUUUAAUUUUACUAGUAUGAUUUAAGCGCAAUCAUAUUUACCUAUCGUGUUGAUCGUAAUGACAAUCGGUUCCGACGCGAUUUUGGUCCAGGGAACCCGGAUGGCCAGCUCGUGGAUGUGUCCGGACAGAAAUUGGAACGGCAAUGCCAGCUCCUCCUCCAGCACAUCUAGCUUCAGGUCCAGGUUCUGAAACACCACUUCGCCACCCCACAGGGACACCUGCGAGUCUUCCGGUCGGAUGUUCUUAACAUAUUUCUCCACGUAGCUCAGAAUUAUUGGCGUUAUGUAGGAUUCGAUUUUGAACAUUUUCAAUGCCUUUCGAGGUUGCAACGCGUCAAUCUCUAUACAAUCAUUAGCCGCACAUAACGGAAUCUAGAAUUUGCUAAAUUGUUUUCUUUUUUACGCCCGAACUGUUUAUCACUAUUUUCCAACUUCUCCGAUCUUAUCAGCCUAGCUACUUCUUCGAAAAUAUCUCAUUGAUAAGGAAACACGUCUGACGAGUCACACACGCUCAUUUUUUUCUAACCAUUUUCGAGUUUUUUUCAACCGUUUUCUGAUUUUCCUUCGGAAACUUCGAAAAUUGUUAUUUUUCAAACGGAAUGAAUUGUUAAAUUUCAAGCGUUUUCAGAGUUUCAGUGGAAAACCAUAAUAAUGGUUAAAAAAUGUUCCGUUCCGCCAUUGUUCAUUUUUUCAAAUCGACUUGGAAGAUUAUACUCCGGUUUUCUUUCUAUUCAUUUGGUGCAAAUUGUGUUCAGAUGCCGACGUGUUUUGCACGAAAACUUGAAAGGAUUGUUUUAGAAUAACGAGCACAAAAAAAGAAACUAUUUGGAACCAAAAAUCAAAGAGAAUCUCAUACAUGAUGGGAGAUAACAUACAUCCGGUGUUUCCGAUGGCUCAAACUGCUUCUUACGAAACACUUUCUCCUUCCGAAAAAAAUGAUCCGCUACUUAAGAAAAUGGAAAGAUUCAUGGAGUAUUUCGUGCUGGAAGUUGUGCUCCAACUUAGUUCUUGGCCUCCAAAGAACAAUCACUACCAGUGAAACCAGCCUUGAUGGACUGUGACCGAAUAUUAUGGGUGCUUCUUUUUUUAAUAUCAAUUCCAUUGGCACGUAAUCUGGGUACAUAUUAUGACAAAUUAUAAUAAUUUAUGUUUGAUUUCAAUAAAUACCUUAAAAAUAUCCGU